RNAcentral lists this ribosomal RNA (831 nucleotides) under Suzukiozyma fluviatilis. Its description in RNAcentral is "LSU rRNA". It matches the Rfam family "Eukaryotic large subunit ribosomal RNA", at positions 77 to 931 of the family's 3401-position model. Lineage: Eukaryota; Fungi; Ascomycota; Pichiomycetes; Serinales; Debaryomycetaceae. The record is from RNAcentral.
GCCUUAGUAACGGCGAGUGAAGCGGCAAAAGCUCAAAUUUGAAAUCUGGCACCUUCGGUGUCCGAGUUGUAAUUUGAAGAAGGUAACCUUGGGGUUGGCUCUUGUCUAUGUUUCUUGGAACAGAACGUCACAGAGGGUGAGAAUCCCGUGCGAUGAGAUGCCCAAUUCUAUGUAAGGUGCUUUCGAAGAGUCGAGUUGUUUGGGAAUGCAGCUCUAAGUGGGUGGUAAAUUCCAUCUAAAGCUAAAUAUUGGCGAGAGACCGAUAGCGAACAAGUACAGUGAUGGAAAGAUGAAAAGAACUUUGAAAAGAGAGUGAAAAAGUACGUGAAAUUGUUGAAAGGGAAGGGUAUGAGAUCAGACUUGGUGUUUUGCAACCUCACUCUCGGGUGGGGCCCCUGCAGUUCAUCGGGCCAGCAUCAGUUUGGAUGGUAGGAUAAUGACAUUGGAAUGUGGCUUGACUUCGGUUAAGUGUUAUAGCCCUUGUUGAUACUACCUGUCUAGACUGAGGACUGCGUCUUUGACUAGGAUGCUGGCAUAAUGAUCCUAUACCGCCCGUCUUGAAACACGGACCAAGGAGUCUAACGUCUAUGCAAGUGUUUGGGUGUAAAACCCGUACGCGUAAUGAAAGUGAACGUAGGUCUGAGCUCUUUGAGUGCAAGAUCGACCGAUCCUGAUGUCUUCGGAUGGAUUUGAGUAAGAGCAUAGCUGUUGGGACCCGAAAGAUGGUGAACUAUACCUGAAUAGGGUGAAGCCAGAGGAAACUCUGGUGGAGGCUCGUAGCGGUUCUGACGUGCAAAUCGAUCGUCGAAUUUGGGUAUAGGGGCGAAAGAC